This 253-nucleotide ribosomal RNA is filed under the name uncultured Ktedonobacter sp. RNAcentral describes it as "partial 16S ribosomal RNA". It matches the Rfam family "Bacterial small subunit ribosomal RNA", at positions 524 to 776 of the family's 1533-position model. The record is from RNAcentral. Lineage: Bacteria; Bacillati; Chloroflexota; Ktedonobacteria; Ktedonobacterales; Ktedonobacteraceae.
UACGUAGGGGGCGAGCGUUGUCCGGAGUUACUGGGCGUAAAGGGCGUGCAGGCGGUGGGGCGCGUUUUGUGUGACAGCGCGAGGCUUAACUUCGCGAGGAUACGAAAGACGGCCGCACUUGAGAGCGCGAGAGGGACACGGAAUUCCGGGUGGAGUGGUGAAAUGCGUAGAGAUCCGGAGGAACACCGAAGGCGAAGGCAGUGUCCUGGCGCGCAUCUGACGCUGAGGCGCGAAAGCCAGGGGAGCGAACGGG